GGGAAAUGUUCCCACGACGUGGAGAGAACAGAAAAGUCUCUCUCUGUCUCUCUCCGUCCCGUUGACUUGAUGAAGAGCGUUAUCUUAUUUAAAUUCUGUCUUGCUCGCAUUAUCACUUUUUCUUUGUAAGCCAGCAGCAACCGAAAGCCGAAAACCAAACAAAACAAGCAAGAAGUUGUCCUUACUUCACAAUUCCCACGAAUUCAAUUCCCCGGCCUACAAUUUUCCUCGCUUUCUCUCUAAUUUCUCUGUCAAUGUUUUGAUUUGAUCCGAAUCUCAGUUUUGUCUAAUCUUCUUAAUUCUCACAUCGCUGCUCUGUCUUUCUCUCUGUUUCUGUAGAUUGCAGAGCUAGCCAGACCACGGGGAAAAACGCUAAUCUAAUUCGAACAUGUCGAAAUCCCUCCCUUGUUCCUUGAAAGAUGUGCUCCAUGAAAUAUGUGCACUAUGAUAACGCCAAGUUCCGCCAACGCUCUUUCGUCAAGGUGAUCUCUCAGUCCUUGAUUACCAGUAAUAUAAAGCGUGAAUGUAUAAGUUGUUCUACUGGGAAGUUUCUAAUGUUAUUGAUGAUCUUUGGUUUAGCAUAUCUUAUGCUGACUCAUACAAGCAGUUCCCAUUCUUUUUCUGGUGGACUAGCUAAAGGAACAAAUCUCAGUGAGGAAAGUAUGAAGUAUGGAAGUACCAAACUUGGAAGAUUUUGGAGGAAACCACCAAGGCUUCCUCCUUGAUUAUCACCUGAUGAAAAGGGUACUAAUAAUAAACCUAUUCAUGAGUUAGGGAGGCUAAAUACUGAUCCAAUAUGGUUAGAAAGGCAACAAAAAGUAAAGGAAGCUUUCAUCCAUGCUUGGUCUGGCUACAAAAAGUAUGCAAUGGGAUAUGAUGAACUUGUGCCAUUGAGCCAGAGGGGAGUUGAUGGGUUAGGAGGUCUAGGCGCUACUUCCAUGGAUGCUCUUGAUACAGCCAUGAUUAUGGGUGCUAAUGAAGUUGUUUCUGAAGCAGGCUCAUGGAUUGAAACACACCUUUCUAAUAGGAUUGCCGAGAAAGGCCAAGUUAAUUUAUUUGAUACUGCCAUUCGUGUCUUAGGUGGUCUUUUAAGUGCAUAUCAUUUAAGUGGAGGGGAACAAGGGACUAAAUCUAUGCAUGAGGGGCCAAAACCAAUCUUUUAUCUAGAAACUGCUAGAAACUUGGCUGAUUGUCUGCUAGUGGCUUUUACAUCCAGUCCAACUCCUAUUCCCUUCAGUGAUGUUGUUCUACAUGAUUCCGCAAAGCAUUGUGCACCUGAUGGUUUAGCAGUACUUCAGAAGUUUCAACUUUUCAGCUGGAGUGGAGUUCAAUUAUCUCAGUACCAUUUCUGGUGAUCCCUAGUACAGCAUGGAAGCUAUGAAAGUUUUGGCACAUAUGAAGAAUCUACCUAAGGUAGAAGGGCUAGUUCCUAUCUACAUAAGCCCUGACUCUGGUGAAUUUAGUGGCGAAAAUAUUAGACUGGGAUCUCGUGGUGACAGCUACUAUGAGUACCUAAUUAAAGUAUGGCUUCAGCAGGGAAGCAGUAGAGAUGCAAAUUUUACAUAUCUGCAUGACAUGUAUGAGGAGGCAAUGCAGGGUGUUAGGCACCUACUUGUUCAGACAUCAAUCCCAAAUGGAUUGGUUUUUGUGGGGGAAUUGCCUUAUGUUCCAAAGGGUGCUUUCAGUCCCAAAAUGGAUCCCCUGGUGUGCUUUUUACCUGGUACUCUUGCUCUUGGUGCCACUAAGGGCAUCACAAAGGAAAAGGCAAUGAAAGACAAAACAGUACUCUUGCUCUUGGUGCCACUAAGGGCAUCACAAAGGAAAAGGCAAUGAAAGACAAAACA
RNAcentral lists this unclassified non-coding RNA (1844 nucleotides) under Hevea brasiliensis (rubber tree). Lineage: Eukaryota; Viridiplantae; Streptophyta; Magnoliopsida; Malpighiales; Euphorbiaceae. The record is from RNAcentral.